RNAcentral lists this ribosomal RNA (2022 nucleotides) under Triticum aestivum (bread wheat). RNAcentral's name for it is "partial small subunit ribosomal RNA". The record is from RNAcentral. Lineage: Eukaryota; Viridiplantae; Streptophyta; Magnoliopsida; Poales; Poaceae.
AUGGCUCAUGCAAGAAGCAUCCUCAUACCCACGUACUACCUGAUCAGCUGCUACAUCUUAUUUCUAGCCGCCUACGCGACUCCUCGCGCCGCCGCGCUGUCCUUCGACUACGACUUCACUGUCCCGAUCCCGAGGGACCGCAAGCAGCUCAAAUUCAUCAACGCCUCCUACGCCGGCCGCGACCGGAUCAUCCUCACCGACGACAGCUCCAACCUCACCGGCCGCGUCGUGCACCGAAAGCCGGUGCGCCUGUGGGACAGCCGCACAGGCAGGAGGGCCAGCUUCACCACCAGCUUCCGCUUCGCCAUCGUCCAAGACAGCAACAGGACGGAUAACCUUUCACGGGGCGACGGCAUGGCGUUCUUCCUCGGGCCCUUCCCGGCGACGACCCCUCCGCCUGGCUCCGACGGCGGCCUCCUCGGCCUCUUCAGCAACCCCAACAGCACGGGCGCCGCCGACUCCCGACGCCCGCCGCACACCCUCGCCGUCGAGUUCGACACCCGCUGGAACCACGGCUGGGACCCCUCCAACGGGGCUGGCGCCGACCACAUCGGCGUCGACGUCAACGGCAUCAGGUCCAACCGGACCAGAAGCCUGCCGCCGUUGAGCCUCCAUGGCAUCAUGUGGGCGAGCGUCACGUACGAUGCCGAGUCCAAGGUGAUGAAGGUGGCGCUUCGGAAAACCGAGCUGGCGUCCGAGUCGAGCACUACGUACGAGUUCAACGCCACCAUGGAUCUCAGGGACGACGCUGGCCUUGUACAGGACGCCGCCGUCGGUUUCUCCGCGGCCACCGGUGUCCUCUGCGAGUCGCACCAGCUGCUCGCUUGGUCCUUCCACUCAACAGAUCCAUCUCACAUGGAGACAAAAAUGUGGGUGAUAUUCCUAUCUGUCACAGCAGUUUUGUUAGCCGGUUUACUAGUGGCUCUUUUCCCUCUUCUCUAUACUACAUUUAUGAAAAAGCCAAGACGGUGCCUCGACGGAAAUUGUUUGCAAGUUGCAAGAAAAUUCUCCUACUCUGAGCUAGUAGCGGCAACGGCCAACUUCUCGCAAGAUAGGAAGAUCGGCAAAGGUUCCUUCGGUGACGUGUACAGAGGGUUGCUACCUGUGCCGGACCUGCGGGAGGUGGCGGUGAAGGAAAUGCGGCAGCCAACAUUGAAGCGGAACCGGAAGAACUACGUGCAUGAGAUCGAGACCCUGUGUCAGCUGCGCCAUAAGAACCUCCUACGGCUCAUCGGCUGGUGCGACGAUGGUGGCCGGUUGGUGCUUGUCUACGAGCUCGAACCCAACGGUAGCGUCAGCGACCAUCUCCACGACGGCGGCACUAGCGGGAGAAUAUUGACAUGGCCGCAGAGGUACAAUAUCCUUCUUGGUAUUGCAGCCGCCAUUGACUACCUCCACAACGGUGCAUAUGACUCAACAAAGAGGUACGUGUUGCACCGGGACAUAAAGCCCAGUAACGUGAUGCUGGGAGAGGGCUUCGAGGCCAAGCUCGGCGACUUUGGACUGGUACGACAGGUCAUCCGCCAUGGCGGUGGGGGUACUCCUCGGACAACUGUUAUCGGGAGCAUGGACUACAUGGACCCCAAGUACAUCGAGCUCGGCACGCUGAGCUCCGCCUCUGAUAUAUACAGCUUUGGGUUGGUGCUGCUGGAGGUGGCCACUGGCGUGAGACCAUCCGUCCCGGGAACAGCAGCACACCGGAACACCCUCAUCGCGGCCGUCACGGAGUCUCACAGCAGAAAAACCAUCCUCGAGAUGGUAGAUGAGCGGCUGAGAGGGGAGUUGAAUCAGUGGUGGUGGCAGAUGGAGCGUGUCAUGGUCACCGGGCUGGCAUGUGUCGAGCCGGCGCGUGACGAGCGACCAUCUAUCAAAGAUGUCAUCGACCUGCUCUCCAAGCACGAGCAAUCUCCGGCAACUAGCCGUUACCUGAAAGAUACUUCAAUGAGGCCCAAGGAUCGAUUUCCUUUCAUACUAACUAGGAAUGUGGCUCUCGCAAAUGCAAGGGCAACAUCUUUACCAUAG